Molecule: ribosomal RNA, 620 nt
Filed under: uncultured cyanobacterium
Lineage: Bacteria; Bacillati; Cyanobacteriota
Description: bacterial SSU rRNA
Rfam family: Bacterial small subunit ribosomal RNA
Source: RNAcentral
AGAGUUUGAUCAUGGCUCAGGAUGAACGCUGGCGGCGUGCUUAACACAUGCAAGUCGAACGAACCUUCGGGUUAGUGGCGGACGGGUGAGUAACGCGUGAGAAUCUGCCCUCAGGAGGGGGACAACAGCUGGAAACGGCUGCUAAUACCCCAUAUGCCGCGAGGUGAAAUGAAUUUCGCCUGAGGAUGAGCUCGCGUCUGAUUAGCUAGUUGGUGUAGGUAAUGGCUCACCAAGGCAUCGAUCAGUAGCUGGUCUGAGAGGAUGAUCAGCCACACUGGGACUGAGACACGGCCCAGACUCCUACGGGAGGCAGCAGUGGGGAAUUUUCCGCAAUGGGCGAAAGCCUGACGGAGCAACGCCGCGUGAGGGAUGAAGGCCUCUGGGCUGUAAACCUCUUUUAUCAAGGAAGAAGAUCUGACGGUACUUGAUGAAUAAGCCACGGCUAAUUCCGUGCCAGCAGCCGCGGUAAUACGGGAGUGGCAAGCGUUAUCCGGAAUUAUUGGGCGUAAAGCGUCCGCAGGCGGCCCUUCAAGUCUGCUGUUAAAAAGUGGAGCUUAACUCCAUCAUGGCAGUGGAAACUGUUGGGCUUGAGUGUGGUAGGGGCAGAGGGAAUUCCCGGU